UACUUGACUGAAGGCAUGCGAUUCUUCCUCGCACCACACGACCCACCACGAGACUCCUGCAGAGGCGCGCCAGCCACCGCAAUGGCGCAUCCACCGCGGCUUCUCUCUUCUCCACCGACCUCCGUCGCUUUGAUCCAGGCAGAGCAUCCGCAAGCCGCUUCUCUGUACUCAACCAAGCUCCGUCGCUCCGCUCGACACCGGGCAUCUCCGCAGCGACGCUCCACGGCGAGAUUGGUCGCCGCCCCCUCCGUGAAAUUCACGGUCAGUGGCGUCGAUGCCGACCACCACGACGGGGAAUGCGGAACUGCGGCGGCUGGGCCGACGCCUCCCCUCGCCCCUCUCCCUCCGGCGGCUCCCACCGCACCGGAGGCGGCGGCGCGCCAGGACUAGUGGGCCAAGCGGAGGCCUUUCCAGCACCAGGCCCAAUGCUGCUCGGGGCUUCUUAAGUCAUGCCUUGGGCGUAAUACCAGCCCAGGCCCAGGCCCAAUGUUGCGAACUCGAGGUUGCCUACCGUCUCCUUUCGAAGGCGAAAGCUUGCGCGGGCGUCAUAUAUACAGCCUCCGCCUCACCGUUUUCUUCCUCGCCCUCUUCUUCACCCUUCCCGGAGCGGAGAAGCUUGCGCAGGCAUCAUAUACAGCCCCCGCCUCGUCCCCUUCCUCGGUCUGCUGAACCCUUCCUCGAUGUGCUGAACCCUUCCUGGAGCGGAGAAAGACCAGGGUCAAAUGUGGAUUAGCUGGUGCAUCAGUACUGAUUUUGAUGGAACUCUGGAGGUUCUUGGCUAGAAUGGUUCUUGGUUCUGGAUAUGUUACUACUUUAGCCUAUCUUUUCUGUUUGUUCUACAAUUUUUUGGAGUGCAAAAUCGGCAGCGUUAAACUCUGGUGAAUACAGACCAUUAUUUCUUACUGGAUUAUUAUAGCAAUUUAUUGUUUUUGAACUUUCCGUGAUGUUCUCUAUGGCACAGGAAACAGAAAAUGGCUUGGAUGUCUCACCAGCCUUGCCGCUUCUACAUCAUUGAUGGAUCUUGCAAGUAUGGUUCAGGCUGUUUGUUCUCUCAUGGACUUGACUUAUUUGGGAGGAUAGAGAUGCAAAUCAGGGCACUUCUGCAUGAGCCGGAUGUAUAUCAAGUUCCAGUAGAGCAUUUGCCGUGGAGUCGCCAUGAGUUGGGUAUACUGCUUCGGCAAGUGGGAUGGGAUGAGACUCUUGAUCACCUAAUGAGUUUGCUCGAGUGUCUUCAUACUAUUUGUGUGGUUUAUAACAGCUAUGGAUAUUAUGCAAUCCUGUUGGAGAAUGUUUCACGCUACCUGGGUUACUUACCUUACAAUCCAAAUGUGAUGGAUGCCGACAGUGAAGUUCACCAGAUUUAUAUUAACUUCUCUGCUCAAAGUAGAGAAAUAUGCACUGAAGAAAAUGUUCGUAUCUAUUUCAGCCAUUAUGGGGAAGUCUUUUCUGUAUAUAUUCCGCGUGAAAGGUCAUAUGGUUUUGUGAGAUUCCAGUACCCUGAGACAGUGAGGCUGCUUUUAUUAAACUGGAAUCAUCUGGUCCCUCACUUCAUCUUCGGAGCAGGACUUUAUGUGAGCCCCUAUAUCUCCAACAAUCGGAGGAACCCUGCUGAGAAUCAUGGGCCGAAUGGCCUGGAUGGAGGGCCAGGACAUGUGCCAAAUGCCCUGGGUGGAGUGCCAGGAUAAGAACCAGGUGCGCCAGAUGGAAACGCGGCACAACAAGAUAUGAACCCUGCUGGGAAUCAUGGGCUGAAUGGCCCGGGUGGAGGGCUAGGACAUGUGCCAAAUGCCCCGGUUGCAGUGCCAGAUGACGUGCUAGGUGUGCUGGAUGGAGACGCAGCAGAACAAGAUAUGAACCCUGCUUGGAAUGGAGUGGCAGGACAAGUGCCAGUUGUUCCGGAUGGAGGCGCAGCACAACAAGAUAUGGACGAGAUCGCUGCCGCUAUUCCAGAUGUCGACUGUUUCUACAAGGAGGCCUGACCUGACCAGCCAGUGGCGCAAGUAUAAGUGGAUUGGAACAGCGUUCCUCAUUCAGAUGUUGUCGAUUCCCAUUCGAUACAUAUACACUCCAGACAUAGAUUGUAGAUUAGAUGAGUAUACUAAAGACGCAGCAAACUUGAGUACACUAUACUGAUUACUGAAACGCUUCUAUGGUUUCCUCUUAGAUACAUCAUAUAGACAAAAAGAAGUUUUUGUACAUUGAAGCGCUUUCCUUGGUUGAUUAGGUUUGGGGUCAAUCCCCCUGCUGUCAUGACCUGCUGAUGCAUGAUCUAAGAAUCCUUGUAAUUCUACUCUACACACUGAGUUUUUUUGGUAGUUAAUAGCAAAACAGAAACACUUUGUGUUUGCAUAUGACACUGGGACCUGUGCGUCUCUUUCGGAGAGAGUAAUGGAAGAUAUCUGAGUUUCAGUUA
Triticum aestivum (bread wheat) is the source of this 2413-nucleotide RNA transcript. It is a transcript of the gene named putative zinc finger CCCH domain-containing protein 51, with no coding region annotated. NCBI's taxonomy places the organism in Eukaryota, Viridiplantae, Streptophyta, Magnoliopsida, Poales, Poaceae. The transcript is spliced from 8 exons. The record is from RefSeq and is a predicted model, not a curated record.